AUUGAACGCUGGCGGCAUGCCUUACACAUGCAAGUCGAACGGUAACAGGUCUUCGGAUGCUGACGAGUGGCGAACGGGUGAGUAAUACAUCGGAACGUGCCCGAGAGUGGGGGAUAACGAAGCGAAAGCUUUGCUAAUACCGCAUACGAUCUCAGGAUGAAAGCAGGGGACCGCAAGGCCUUGCGCUCACGGAGCGGCCGAUGGCAGAUUAGGUAGUUGGUGGGAUAAAAGCUUACCAAGCCGACGAUCUGUAGCUGGUCUGAGAGGACGACCAGCCACACUGGGACUGAGACACGGCCCAGACUCCUACGGGAGGCAGCAGUGGGGAAUUUUGGACAAUGGGCGCAAGCCUGAUCCAGCCAUGCCGCGUGCAGGAUGAAGGCCUUCGGGUUGUAAACUGCUUUUGUACGGAACGAAAAGACUCUGGUUAAUACCUGGGGUCCAUGACGGUACCGUAAGAAUAAGCACCGGCUAACUAC
Molecule: ribosomal RNA, 479 nt
Filed under: Acidovorax delafieldii
Lineage: Bacteria; Pseudomonadati; Pseudomonadota; Betaproteobacteria; Burkholderiales; Comamonadaceae
Description: bacterial SSU rRNA
Rfam family: Bacterial small subunit ribosomal RNA
Source: RNAcentral